AAAGGAAUAGACGGGGGCCCGCACAAGCAGCGGAGCGUGUGGUUUAAUUCGAUGCAACACGAAGAACCUUACCAGGGCUUGACAUGUUGGAAGUAGUGAACCGAAAGGGGAACGACCUGUUAAGUCAGGAGCCAUCACAGGUGCUGCAUGGCUGUCGUCAGCUCGUGCCGUGAGGUGUCGGGUUAAGUCCCAUAACGAGCGCAACCCCUGUUGCCAGUUAUUUUCUCUGGCGAGACUGCCCCGCAAAACGGGGAGGAAGGCGGGGAUGAUGUCAAGUCAGUAUGGCCCUUAUGCCCUGGGCUACACACACGCUACAAUGGGUGGUACAAUUGGUUGCAAUGGAGCGAUCCGGAGCUAAUCCGUAAAACCACUCACAGUUCGGAUUGCAGGCUGAAACCCGCCUGCAUGAAGUCGGAGUUGCUAGUAACCGCGUAUCAGCAUGGCGCGGUGAAUACGUUCUCGGGCCUUGUACACACCGCCCGU
This 483-nucleotide ribosomal RNA is filed under the name uncultured bacterium. RNAcentral describes it as "bacterial SSU rRNA". It matches the Rfam family "Bacterial small subunit ribosomal RNA", at positions 903 to 1397 of the family's 1533-position model. The record is from RNAcentral.